GCUCAAAUUCACCCAAACAGGUACGGGAUUCCUAAACUCAGCCCAGGCUUCAUUGACAAUACCUAAUACGCCUGCCUCUAUAACAGGCUGACUUUUAAAAUAAUAACUUUUUUUUUCUUUUUUGAGAUGGAGUCUCACUCUGUCGCUCAGGCUGGAGUGUAAUGAUGCGAUCUUGGCUCACUGUAACCUCCGCCUCUUGGGUUCAAGGGAUUCUCCUGCUUCAGUCUCUCAAGUAACUGGGAUUACAGGCACCCACCACUACGUCCAGCUAAUUUUUUUGUAUAAAAUAAUGACUUUUAAAAUAAUCCAAUAUAAUAAGAUCUAUUAAGCACUUAGUACGUAACUAUGAACCAGGGAUUGGGGAGAGAAAGGAGGAAGGAGAUUGGAUCUCACCCUCAAAAGAGUUUAGAAUCUCUCCACUGAGACUUUUAGGAGUUAGAGCAAUCUAAAGUGAAGAAAGACGAACAGGGUAAAACUCAGGAUAGUUUUUGUAAAAAGAAAUGUAAAACUGUUUGCCUUCCUGUUUCUUCGUCAAGGAUAAGUAAUUUCCAGUCAUCCCAUCUAUUAAACAAAUAUGUAUUAAGAAAGAAAAGCAGUCCAAGACCCUACUGUGGGCACAGCUGGGGUGCACAGAACCCAUCUUGGGAAGCUGGCUCUGCCCCUUGAGAAAGUUCAAGAUGAAGGGGACACCAAGGCCAGAGGCAAAUGUCCAGCCAUCACCAGCGGGGAUCACCUCGAGUUCCACGCGAGGGGCUCAGUGUUGGGUAAUCGAGAGUGGAAAGCUCUGGAAAAACCCUAAUACCCCUGUUGCAACAUUCUAGGAAAAUGGUCUGUCUAUUGAAUAAGAGUGAGUCACCAUGGGAAAGUUGGGGCGGUCAACACUACCCCGCGCUGCUCAUCCCCAUUCUUUGGCUCCUAGUGAUGCUCCGGUCACCCUCUGGGGGCCAUGGGGAGGAGGUGGUGACGCUGUGAUCCGGAAUUUCAACGAGACAUAUGCAAAUGGCCCAAUGGGCUGUGAAGGAAGUUCAGAGACAGGAGGACGAGGCAACUCAGUGUUUCUAACCCGCAAAGCAGAAGUGAGAAUGGAUGAAACAAUGACGCCCUCGUCAGAGGAUGGUGACACCAGGAUCUGACCCAGUCUUCCCAGGCUACCCCCGCAACUGGAAGCCCCCCAAGAUCGGACAGACAUAUUCUUUCAGGAAACACCACCACUCUGGUUUAUUUCAGCUGCAGGUCUGAUCUCCGUAACAGAGGUACACCUGAAAAAUACCGCCUUAGCCGCUGAGUUUUGAUAGAGCAAUUCUAUAUUCCUGGUAACUUCCACUGUAAUUAAUCGUCAAUUGAUUUCUCCGUCACUUACAUGUGAGUGUGAAGGCGCUGCCUUCUCUGUCAGGAAGUGAACUAUCUAUUGACAAAUGAGUCAAAGCCCUGGGCGGCUGUUACUUAUUCAUGAAGGAGGGUGUUGGCGCGUUUGGGUUUCCCCUCACCUGUCCAGCACGCCCUGGAAGACUGGAG
RNAcentral lists this long non-coding RNA (1515 nucleotides) under Macaca mulatta (Rhesus monkey). Its description in RNAcentral is "lncRNA (ENSMMUG00000053136.1)". Lineage: Eukaryota; Metazoa; Chordata; Mammalia; Primates; Cercopithecidae. The record is from RNAcentral.